GACGAACGCUGGCGGCGUGCUUAACACAUGCAAGUCGAACGAUGAACCUCGAAAUGAUUUCUUCGGAAGGAUUUUUGAGAGGAUUAGUGGCGAACGGGUGAGUAACGCGUGAGCAACCUGCCUUAGACAAGGGGAUAGCCUCGGGAAACCGUGAUUAAUACCCUAUGAGACUCCACUUACGAGUGUAAGAGAAGUUAAAGCAUUAGCGGUCUAAGAUGGGCUCGCGUCUGAUUAGCUAGUUGGUGAGAUAAAAGCCCACCAAGGCGACGAUCAGUAACCGGCUUGAGAGAGUGAACGGUCACAUUGGAACUGAGACACGGUCCAAACUCCUACGGGAGGCAGCAGUGGGGAAUAUUGCACAAUGGGGGAAACCCUGAUGCAGCGACGCCGCGUGAGCGAUGAAGGAAUUCGUUUCGUAAAGCUCUGUCCUUGGAGAAGAUAAUGACGGUAACCAAGGAGGAAGCACCGGCUAAAUACGUGCCAGCAGCCGCGGUAAUACGUAUGGUGCGAGCGUUGUCCGGAAUUAUUGGGCGUAAAGGGUACGUAGGCGGUUUAACAAGUCAGAUGUUAAAACUUGAGGCUUAACCUCAUGUUGCAUUUGAAACUGUAAAACUUGAGUAGUGGAGAGGAAAGUGGAAUUCCUAGUGUAGCGGUGAAAUGCGUAGAUAUUAGGAGGAAUACCAGUAGCGAAGGCGACUUUCUGGACACAAACUGACGCUGAGGUACGAAAGCGUGGGGAGCAAACAGG
Molecule: ribosomal RNA, 748 nt
Filed under: uncultured Gallicola sp.
Lineage: Bacteria; Bacillati; Bacillota; Tissierellia; Tissierellales; Peptoniphilaceae
Description: bacterial SSU rRNA
Rfam family: Bacterial small subunit ribosomal RNA
Source: RNAcentral